AUUGAACGCUGGCGGCAGGCCUAACACAUGCAAGUCGAGCGGGGUUUUCGGACCUAGCGGCGGACGGGUGAGUAAUGCGUAGGAAGCUACCCGAUAGAGGGGGAUACCAGUUGGAAACGACUGUUAAUACCGCAUAAUGUCUACGGACCAAAGUGUGGGACCUUCGGGCCACAUGCUAUCGGAUGCGCCUACGUGGGAUUAGCUAGUUGGUGGGGUAAUGGCUCACCAAGGCGACGAUCCCUAGCUGGUUUGAGAGGAUGAUCAGCCACACUGGAACUGAGACACGGUCCAGACUCCUACGGGAGGCAGCAGUGGGGAAUAUUGGACAAAUGGGCGCAAGCCUGAUCCAGCCAUGCCGCGUGUGUGAAGAAGGCCUC
This 377-nucleotide ribosomal RNA is filed under the name uncultured bacterium. Its description in RNAcentral is "bacterial SSU rRNA". It matches the Rfam family "Bacterial small subunit ribosomal RNA", at positions 30 to 418 of the family's 1533-position model. The record is from RNAcentral.